UGGGGGAUAUUGCACAAUGGGCGAAAGCCUGAUGCAGCGACACCGUGUGAGGGAAGACGGUCUUCGGAUUGUAAACCUCUGUCUUCGGGGACGAUAAUGACGGUACCCGAGGAGGAAGCCACGGCUAACUACGUGCCAGCAGCCGCGGUAAUACGUAGGUGGCGAGCGUUGUCCGGAAUUACUGGGUGUAAAGGGAGCGUAGGCGGGAGUGCAAGUUACAUGUUAAAUCCAUCGGCUCAACCGGUGGCCGCGUGUAAAACUGCAUUUCUUGAGUGAAGUAGAGGUUGGCGGAAUUCCUAGUGUAGCGGUGAAAUGCGUAGAUAUUAGGAGGAACACCAGUGGCGAAGGCGGCCAACUGGGCUUUUACUGACGCUGAGGCUCGAAAGCGUGGGGAGCAAACA
This is a ribosomal RNA of 401 nucleotides. It matches the Rfam family "Bacterial small subunit ribosomal RNA", at positions 355 to 774 of the family's 1533-position model.